AAUACGGAGAGUUUGAUUCUGGCUCAGAACGAACGCUGGCGGCGUGGAUAAGACAUGCAAGUCGAACGGUGACUAAAAAGUAGUAAUAUUUUUUAGUUAUAGUGGCGAAAGGGUGCGUAACACGUGGGUAAUCUGCCGUAAUGUUUGGAAUAACUUGCCGAAAGGUAAGCUAAUACCGGAUGUGGAACUCUUGAGGCAUCUUAAGAGUUCCAAAGCUGGGGACCGCAAGGCCUGGCGCAUUAUGAUGAGCCCGCGGCCUAUCAGCUUGUUGGUGAGGUAAUGGCUCACCAAGGCUAAGACGGGUAGCCGGUCUGAGAGGACGGUCGGCCACACUGGAACUGAGACACGGUCCAGACACCUACGGGUGGCAGCAGUCGAGAAUCAUUCACAAUGGGGGAAACCCUGAUGGUGCGACGCCGCGUGGGGGAUGAAUGGCUUCGGUCAGUAAACCCCUGUCAUUAGUGAACAAACCUUUUAGGGUAAUACCUUAAAAGCUGAUAGUAGCUAAAGAGGAAGGGACGGCUAACUCUGUGCCAGCAGCCGCGGUAAUACAGAGGUCCCAAGCGUUGUUCGGAUUCACUGGGCGUAAAGAGUGCGUAGGUGGCUAGGUAAGUUUGAUGUGAAAGCUCCGAGCUCAACUCGGAAAUUGCAUUGAAAACUGCUUGGCUAGAGGGUCGGAAGGGAGACUGGAAUUUUCGGUGUAGCAGUGAAAUGCGUAGAUAUCGAGAGGAACACCAGUGGCGAAGGCGAGUCUCUGGACGAAUCCUGACACUGAGGCACGAAAGCUAGGGGAGCAAACAGGAUUAGAUACCCUGGUAGUCCUAGCCGUAAACGGUGCACACUUGCUAUGAGCGGAUUCGACCCCGUUCGUGGCGUAGCUAACGCGUUAAGUGUGCCGCCUGGGGAGUACGGUCGCAAGAUUAAAACUCAAAGAAAUUGACGGGGGCCUGCACAAGCGGUGGAGUAUGUGGCUUAAUUCGAUGCAACGCGAAGAACCUUACCUGGCCUUGACAUGCUUGUGGUAAAACCCUGAAAGGGGAAUGACCUCGCAAGAGGAGCUUGCACAGGUGCUGCAUGGCUGUCGUCAGCUCGUGUCGUGAGAUGUUGGGUUAAGUCCCGCAACGAGCGCAACCCUUGUGUCCUGUUGCCACCCGAACUUCGGUUCGGAGCACUCUGGACAGACUGCCUCGCUUAAACGAGGAGGAAGGUGGGGAUGACGUCAAGUCAGUAUGGCCCUUACGGCCAGGGCUGCACACGUACUACAAUGCCUAAUACAAUGGGACGCAAUACCGCGAGGUGGAGCAAAUCCUUAAAAUUGGGCCCAGUUCGGAUUGUAGUCUGCAACUCGACUACAUGAAGCCGGAAUCGCUAGUAAUGGGGCAUCAGCUACGGCCCCGUGAAUACGUUCCCAGGCCUUGUACACACCGCCCGUCACAUCAUGAAAGCCGGUUGUACCCGAAGUCGCUGAGCUAACCCGCAAGGGAGGCAGGUGCCGAAGGUAUGGCUGGUGAUUGGGAUGAAGUCGUAACAAGGUAGCCGUAGGGGAACCUGCGGCUGGAUCACCUCCUUU
RNAcentral lists this ribosomal RNA (1570 nucleotides) under bacterium. Its description in RNAcentral is "bacterial SSU rRNA". It matches the Rfam family "Bacterial small subunit ribosomal RNA". The record is from RNAcentral.